GCUUUCCUUACUUAUUUUCAGGAGCACAUUAUUUAUUAAUGGCAUUAUUUGUUUAUCAUAUAUUUAAAAUAUAUUUCUGAGUUGAGAUUUUUAAUCUUCUUUUGUUUUUCAGCUAAGAGAGUCCGCUACUCUAAAGUCACCACAGAGGUGAUGAAUAAGAGAGAAAGAAAGAAAAGGCAGGACCAGAAGAGCCACAAACAAUAUUUCAGGACAGAUAUAAUGAGCUUGCCAUUCGUUAUCUCACUUCUUCUGAGCCUGUCAGAUGCUGGGAGUCUAAUUUGGGGCACCAAUUAUCACUUUGGAAGUGACAGUAGCCGGAGGCACC
Molecule: long non-coding RNA, 325 nt
Filed under: Felis catus (domestic cat)
Lineage: Eukaryota; Metazoa; Chordata; Mammalia; Carnivora; Felidae
Description: lncRNA (ENSFCAG00000045481.2)
Source: RNAcentral